GUUGACCUUAUUGCCGUCUGCUUUCAGUUAUACAAUUAACACACAAAAUGUACUGUUUGUAAAAGUAAAGACUACAGUUGCAUCCAGUCUACGCCCCGUUGACUCAGAAGAAUUACGCUCUACACAUCGUUGAAGAAUUGCAUCCAGUCUACACUUUGUUGGUUGGGUGUAUCCUGUCCUGGGAUUUUUUGUCCAACAACUUACUCUUUUUUUUAUACGACGACGACUACUACUACUACUACUACUACUCUUGUAUCAAUGUAUUUUUUUAGUACAUAGGCUCUGUCUCCUCCUGUUUGUCAUUUGUAUUGUUAUAUGUGACUAAAUAACGACUGCAAGGAAAACUUUGAAGUGACUUUUCUACUGAAACCUGUUCCUGGACUUUUCGCCAACUGGGAAGGUGCGCCCCGGGAGGCCUGAGACUUUUCGCCUUUUCAGGGAAAUGUGCGCCCUGUGAGGCCCCAGACUUUUCGCCUUUUCAGGGAAAUGUGCGCCCUGUGAGGCCCCAGACUUAAGAUUCGUUUAGAAGUGAACGGAGGUUUGAACGCUUGAGAAUUGAACUGAGAAUUGAGCUGGGAAUUGAACUGAGAAUUGAUCUGAGAAUUAAGUGAGAAUUGAGAGAACUUGCUGAUAGAGGUAAGUGAUCACCCUCUGAAGCCUGAAGAAGAACUUGCUGAAAGUUGAAAGGAAGAAGGUUGUAAGUGUAUUGAUUUAAGCAAAGGAGCAAGUAUUUAGUAUAAGUUAAGUAUCAUAGUAUAAGUCUAUUAUAUUUGUAAAUACUUGAAGUGUGAAGUUAUUUCACCAGAUUGUAAAUACUUGUAAUACUUAUUCACAAAAAAGUGUUUAAAUAUAAAUUCCAUAAACUACCUGUUCAGGAUACAUUUGUUUGUUUUCUUGUAGUAUUAUUCUUUGACAAAAACAUUUUAACUUGUCAAUUGUGUACUAAUUAAACCUAUUUUCAUAAACACUUAAUAAAGACCAUUGAUUGUUUUUUAUAAUAUAUAUUACAAAAGCAAAUAAUAUAUUGUAUUUACUGUGUUAUGUGUGUGUGUGUGAAUAAAAAACUUGUUAAAAACAAAUUGUCUAAGCAUCUGAACAUCAACGCAUCUGAACAUGCCAAGAAAGUUGAAGAGAUCACAGUCUGCUAAGGUAAGGUGGAGAAAGCUGGAUUUGUCUGGAGACGUCAGUAGCAGCGUCAGCGAGAGCAGUGUGUGCCAUGAUGAUGCAGGUAAACAGAGCAUGUGUGAUGACAUCGCUGACAAAAGAAAUCACAGUCAAGCUGAAUUGUUGCCACAGGUGUCACAUGGCCAUGUGAAGAGAGCAGGUCCAUCUCAUGGUGACUAUCUAGGUGAGUCAGGUCAGGAUCCCAUAUGUGUGCUUGCAUCACACAGUCAAGCUUUAUUAGUGGGAGAGCUGAACAGCUCUCACACUAUUGUUAUCUUCGGUCUUUAUUAGUGGGAGAGCUAAACAGCUCUCACACUAUUGUUAUCUUCGGUCUUUAUUAGUGGGAGAGCUGAACAGCUCUCACACUAUUGUUAUCUUCGGUCUUUAUUAUUAUUAUUAGUGGGAGAGCUGAACAGCUCUCACACUAUUGAGAUCUUCGCUCUUUAUUAGUGGGAGAGCUGAACAGCUCUCACACUAUUGAGAUCUUCGCUCUUUAUUAUUAGUGGGAGAGCGGAACAGCUCUCACACUAUUGUUAUCUUCGGUCUUUAUUAUUAGUGGGAGAGCUGAACAGCUCUCACACUAUUGUUAUCUUCGGUCUUUAUUAGUGGGAGAGCUGAACAGCUCUCACACUAUUGUUAUCUUCGGUCUUUAUUAGUGGGAGAGCUGAACAGCUCUCACACUAUUGUUAUCUUCGGUCUUUAUUAUUAUUUUUCUUCUACUUAUUCCGCCCUUUUUUUGAUUGCUAUCUACUUUUUAACGCUUCAUCGUAGAAUCGUCGUUUAACUUUCUAAACGUGUGUCAUCUUUAGGAGAUGUGGGCUAUUACUUUUUAUGUUUUCAGCUUUUCAACUUUUAAUGUUAUUCAACUUUUUUCAUCGUUUUUUUAUAAUGGUCGUCUAUGGGAAUCAUCGUUCAACUUUUUGUCAACUUCCCUCUUUUCAUCAGCGUCUAUCAUCGUCAUACUUUGGCGUAGAAACGUCAUUUCAACUUCAAAAGCGUCCAUCAUCGCUCAACUUUCUCCUCGUAAAUCAGCGUUGUCGUAUCUUCUAUACUUUUUGACUCGUGAACGUUUAAAUAUGGUGUGGUUUUUGUUAAAUUUUCAGCUUUUCCAUUAGUGUGUAUUGGGUCAGUUAGAGUGCGUGAUGU
This is a long non-coding RNA of Betta splendens (Siamese fighting fish), 2310 nucleotides long. RefSeq lists it as uncharacterized. The record is from RefSeq and is a predicted model, not a curated record. Lineage: Eukaryota; Metazoa; Chordata; Actinopteri; Anabantiformes; Osphronemidae. The transcript is spliced from 6 exons.